GGAGGGGUUCCCGAGCGGCCAAAGGGAGCAGACUGUAAAUCUGCCGUCAUUAGACUACGGAGGUUCAAAUCCCCCCCCCUCCACCA
RNAcentral lists this transfer RNA (86 nucleotides) under Kofleriaceae bacterium. RNAcentral describes it as "tRNA-Tyr". It matches the Rfam family "tRNA". Rfam says of the family: Transfer RNA (tRNA) molecules are approximately 80 nucleotides in length. Their secondary structure includes four short double-helical elements and three loops (D, anti-codon, and T loops). The record is from RNAcentral. Lineage: Bacteria; Pseudomonadati; Myxococcota; Haliangiales; Kofleriaceae.